Molecule: ribosomal RNA, 813 nt
Filed under: uncultured bacterium
Lineage: Bacteria
Description: bacterial SSU rRNA
Rfam family: Bacterial small subunit ribosomal RNA
Source: RNAcentral
AGCGAACGUAUUUGCGGAAGUUUUCGGACGGAAGCGGAUGCGACUUAGCGGCGGACGGGUGAGUAACGCGUGGGUAACCUGCCUCAUACAGGGGGAUAACAGUUAGAAAUGACUGCUAAUACCGCAUAAGCGCACAGGACCGCAUGGUCUGGUGUGAAAAACUCCGGUGGUAUGAGAUGGACCCGCGUCUGAUUAGCUGGUUGGUGGGGUAACGGCCCACCAAGGCGACGAUCAGUAGCCGACCUGAGAGGGUGGCCGGCCACAUUGGGACUGAGACACGGCCCAAACUCCUACGGGAGGCAGCAGUGGGGAAUAUUGCACAAUGGGGGAAACCCUGAUGCAGCAACGCCGCGUGAGUGAAGAAGUAUUUCGGUAUGUAAAGCUCUAUCAGCAGGGAAGAAGAAAGACGGUACCUGACUAAGAAGCCCCGGCUAACUACGUGCCAGCAGCCGCGGUAAUACGUAGGGGGCAAGCGUUAUCUGGAUUUACUGGGUGUAAAGGGAGCGUAGACGGCAUAGCAAGUCUGAAGUGAAAGCCCGUGGCUCAACCGCGGAACUGCUUUGGAAACUGUUAAGCUGGAGUACUGGAGAGGCAAGCGGAAUUCCUAGUGUAGCGGUGAAAUGCGUAGAUAUUAGGAGGAACACCAGUGGCGAAGGCGGCUUGCUGGACAGAGACUGACGUUGAGGCUCGAAAGCGUGGGGAGCAAACAGGAUUAGAUACCCUGGUAGUCCACGCGGUAAACGAUGAAUGCUAGGUGUUGGCGGGCAAAGCCCGUCGGUGCCNGUCGCAACGCAGUAAGCAUUCCANCUGGGG